AAUCCAAAUUUUCAAUGGCAACCGUGUUUAACUUAUACAGGAUCUGUACAAGAAGUAUCGUACAUUUUUUAUCUUCGAGGGCUACGUGUAUUAGACUACCCAAGUUGGUACUCAUAUGUCUUACAUAUGAAUGUUUGGUUAAAUUUUGACAGCUGUUUUACUUACACGUGUUUUGCUUGGUCUUCAAUUUCCUCUUAAUGAAAGAAAAAAAAACAUCCCACAUGCAUGGGAGCAUUCCGAAUAUGCAGAGAGGCAUCUCUUGGGCCAAAAAACUUGACAUGUGCAAAAUUUGACGACAAUCGGACAAAUGUGGCCUUUACAAUGAUUUCUACGAUACAUGGGCCGACAGACGGACAUGGCAGAUCGAAUGAGAAAGUCAUUUUGAAGCGACCGGUCUACGGUUUAAAAUCUUAAAGUAAUAAAACCCUUUAUAACCGUAGUAUUAUCGGAUAUAAUUACAGACCUUUGUUACAAUGUUUAUCAUAUAAUGGAUAACACUUUCUUAAUAAAUACAAAUGCCACACUUUUUGUACA
Molecule: long non-coding RNA, 534 nt
Organism: Stomoxys calcitrans (stable fly)
Lineage: Eukaryota; Metazoa; Arthropoda; Insecta; Diptera; Muscidae
Exons: 2
Source: RefSeq, a predicted model, not a curated record